This 247-nucleotide long non-coding RNA is filed under the name Ananas comosus (pineapple). Its description in RNAcentral is "long non-coding RNA (ACOM_LNC029496)". The record is from RNAcentral. Lineage: Eukaryota; Viridiplantae; Streptophyta; Magnoliopsida; Poales; Bromeliaceae.
CGCCUAUCUCUCUCGACUGCGGCAAACGAAGCCAAAAACAGGCUUUUCUUUAAUAUCUUCGCGCCAACUCGUCGGAUCGCCGAACCGAAUUUACCAACGCGAUCGAUUACCUAGCAGAUAGGUAUAAAAGAGAUCAAUCCCAAAUUUGGAUCUCAACUUAACAAAACGCCUUUUUCGGAACCCUAGAUGUUCGAUCUUGCAUGAAUACACCAUAAGGAUCCUCGAUUCAAGCAAAUAACAUCUAUUU